GACGAACGCUGGCGGCGUGCUUAACACAUGCAAGUCGAACGGAAAGGCCCUGCUUGCAGGGUACUCGAGUGGCGAACGGGUGAGUAACACGUGGGUGAUCUGCCCUGCACUUCGGGAUAAGCCUGGGAAACUGGGUCUAAUACCGGAUAGGAGCCAUUUUUAGUGUGAUGGUUGGAAAGUUUUUUCGGUGUAGGAUGAGCUCGCGGCCUAUCAGCUUGUUGGUGGGGUAAUGGCCUACCAAGGCGGCGACGGGUAGCCGGCCUGAGAGGGUGGACGGCCACAGUGGGACUGAGAUACGGCCCAGACUCCGACGGGAGGCAGCAGUGGGGAAUAUUGCACAAUGGGCGCAAGCCUGAUGCAGCGACGCCGCGUGGGGGAUGACGGCCUUCGGGUUGGAAACUCCUUUCGCUAGGGACGAAGCUUUUUGUGACGGUACCUAGAUAAGAAGCACCGGCUAACUACGUG
This 465-nucleotide ribosomal RNA is filed under the name uncultured bacterium. RNAcentral describes it as "partial 16S ribosomal RNA". It matches the Rfam family "Bacterial small subunit ribosomal RNA", at positions 28 to 507 of the family's 1533-position model. The record is from RNAcentral.